Molecule: RNA transcript, 810 nt
Organism: Colletes gigas
Lineage: Eukaryota; Metazoa; Arthropoda; Insecta; Hymenoptera; Colletidae
Gene: Blos4
Gene name: biogenesis of lysosome-related organelles complex 1 subunit 4
Exons: 5
Source: RefSeq, a predicted model, not a curated record
GUCAUAAGAAAAUGGCGUCUUGGACGUUUGAAAGUGUCUGUUUGAUGGCAAGCUAUGUAAACAAUUUUUUAUCGCUCGUAUAAAUCCUCAUAAGAAACUAAAAAUGUCUUCGCAUAUUGCUACAAUAGCCGAGGAAUUAGCCAAGGACUAUGCAAAUUAUGCAAAAUUAGAUUUAAGCAAUCAAAUGAAAAGUUUCCACGAUACGAUCGAAGAUGUAAUGAUGCGCUUAGAAGAAUUUCAGUCUAUUAUCGAAAUGGUUCAAUCUGAAAGUUCGCAAUGUAUUGAUCAACACAUUCCAAGGUUGGAAGAUGCACAACAAGAAGUUAUAAAUCUAUGCAGACGAAUUGAUGCCCUAGAACAUGUUAUAGCAAUGGCUAAUGUAAAUCUAACUACUUUAGAAGCUGCUGUUGAUAAUGCAGAAGCCGAAUUAGGAAUUUCUGAUAGACUAUUUGGAAUGUUAAAUCCUUUAUCCUUCUUUAAAAAAAAUCAAGAACCUGUGCUACCUAAUAAAGUACCCAUAUACGAAGCACCAACAAUUUAUAGAGCAAAUGAUUACUUUAGCAGCGAUUAAAAGAUACACUUUUUAUUUAUAAAAUGUAAUUUAUUACCUUUGUUAAUUAAUCUCAAAGAUGAAAAUGUAUUGCACAUUGAAAAGAAAUUUUAAAUAUUUUAAGAACAAGCCGUAUUGGGAUUGAGAUGCAAAAUAUGUUGCAUACGAAAUUGCUGUGUAACUGCAAAAUAGUUACCAUUAUCCAGCUUAUAAGUAUUUUGUUCAUUUAUAUUAUCAAUUUACCAGAAAUUGCAAUUAGG